CGGAUGAACGCUGGCGGCGUGCCUAAUACAUGCAAGUCGAGCGAACGGACGAGAAGCUUGCUUCUCUGAUGUUAGCGGCGGACGGGUGAGUAACACGUGGAUAACCUACCUAUAAGACUGGGAUAACUUCGGGAAACCGGAGCUAAUACCGGAUAAUAUUUUGAACCGCAUGGUUCAAAAGUGAAAGACGGUCUUGCUGUCACUUAUAGAUGGAUCCGCGCUGCAUUAGCUAGUUGGUAAGGUAACGGCUUACCAAGGCAACGAUGCAUAGCCGACCUGAGAGGGUGAUCGGCCACACUGGAACUGAGACACGGUCCAGACUCCUACGGGAGGCAGCAGUAGGGAAUCUUCCGCAAUGGGCGAAAGCCUGACGGAGCAACGCCGCGUGAGUGAUGAAGGUCUUCGGAUCGUAAAACUCUGUUAUUAGGGAAGAACAUAUGUGUAAGUAACUGUGCACAUCUUGACGGUACCUAAUCAGAAAGCCACGGCUAACUACGUGCCAGCAGCCGCGGUAAUACGUAGGUGGCAAGCGUUAUCCGGAAUUAUUGGGCGUAAAGCGCGCGUAGGCGGUUUUUUAAGUCUGAUGUGAAAGCCCACGGCUCAACCGUGGAGGGUCAUUGGAAACUGGAAAACUUGAGUGCAGAAGAGGAAAGUGGAAUUCCAUGUGUAGCGGUGAAAUGCGCAGAGAUAUGGAGGAACACCAGUGGCGAAGGCGACUUUCUGGUCUGUAACUGACGCUGAUGUGCGAAAGCGUGGGGAUCAAACAGGAUUAGAUACCCUGGUAGUCCACGCCGUAAACGAUGAGUGCUAAGUGUUAGGGGGUUUCCGCCCCUUAGUGCUGCAGCUAACGCAUUAAGCACUCCGCCUGGGGAGUACGACCGCAAGGUUGAAACUCAAAGGAAUUGACGGGGACCCGCACAAGCGGUGGAGCAUGUGGUUUAAUUCGAAGCAACGCGAAGAACCUUACCAAAUCUUGACAUCCUUUGACAACUCUAGAGAUAGAGCCUUCCCCUUCGGGGGACAAAGUGACAGGUGGUGCAUGGUUGUCGUCAGCUCGUGUCGUGAGAUGUUGGGUUAAGUCCCGCAACGAGCGCAACCCUUAAGCUUAGUUGCCAUCAUUAAGUUGGGCACUCUAAGUUGACUGCCGGUGACAAACCGGAGGAAGGUGGGGAUGACGUCAAAUCAUCAUGCCCCUUAUGAUUUGGGCUACACACGUGCUACAAUGGACAAUACAAAGGGCAGCGAAACCGCGAGGUCAAGCAAAUCCCAUAAAGUUGUUCUCAGUUCGGAUUGUAGUCUGCAACUCGACUACAUGAAGCUGGAAUCGCUAGUAAUCGUAGAUCAGCAUGCUACGGUGAAUACGUUCCCGGGUCUUGUACACACCGCCCGUCACACCACGAGAGUUUGUAACACCCGAAGCCGGUGGAGUAACCUUUUAGGAGCUAGCCGUCGAAGGUGGGACAAAUGAUUGGGGUG
This 1476-nucleotide ribosomal RNA is filed under the name Staphylococcus aureus. RNAcentral describes it as "partial 16S ribosomal RNA". It matches the Rfam family "Bacterial small subunit ribosomal RNA". The record is from RNAcentral. Lineage: Bacteria; Bacillati; Bacillota; Bacilli; Caryophanales; Staphylococcaceae.